GCCAUGUUUCAAUAUUGUCACAUUCAAGAAAUACUCAUAUAAAUUAAAUCUGAAAUGUACGUAAGAAAUAAUUACUUUGUGAGUCUAGAAAUGACCAAAGCCCAGGCUUUGCAGUAGUAGGGGAUGUAUCUAUAUAGAUCUAUAGAAAUCUUGAAGAUCUGAUGUAUAAUCUAAGGCAAUUAUAUAUGUGCUGAAACAGAUUAACCAUCCUAAAUGUUUACAAUAAACCUCCGGAAUCUUCCACUCUAAACUCUAAUUAACCUCUGGUUAUGUAAUCAAUGAAUGGAAAUAGGAUCAUUUUGGCACUACCCAUCCGUUCCCUCCCUUGAUUUCGAGCUGCGUGGACGUGUUUACAGAUAUAUUUAAAUAAAUUUGAAUUAGACUGCAAUUUCUCAACACUGAAAAAUGUAAGUAGAUCUAGAGUUUUUUACUUUAAUCUUUAAAAUAAACCCUUCUAAUAUAUUAAUGUAUUUAAACCUGCACGGAAUUAGUGUUUUAAAACCUGUUAUACUAUCCACGUGACCAGGUCAUGUGAUUAAUACAAAAUGGCGGAUUGGUAAUGGAAAAUACUUUGAUGUUUUCAGACAGCAAAUUUAUGUCUAAUUGGAGGAGAUAGUGUGGAGAGCAAUGUUCGCCGUGUUAUGUCUCACACUUUGUCUCAGGAAGUUGCCCUAGAAUACAACUGGGUUGGAAAAGGCUCGAAAAAACCAUUCGAAAAACUUAGACUUAAAACAGUCAUAUUAGAUGCUGUAAGAGGAAGUAGACAGGGGUCUACUCAUAAUGAAAUCGAGAAGACAAAAAAGGAGUGGCUAAGAUAUGCCAAGGAUAGGGGAGGCGGGCGGAGGAAGAGACUGGCUAAAAAGUUGCAACAACAAAGAGAAGAAAAUGAAAAUGAUAUGUAUACAACAUUUAGAAAUAAAUUGUAGUAAUUAGAAUAUUUUAUGUUCUUUUAUUUUACGGUCUCUCUGAAUUCUAGGAGACAUGCUGUUUUUGGUCUUGUCAUCUGAGGGCCAGCGUUAGUAGUAAGAAACAAGUAAUUGGGCCAAUGGAGGGCCAACAAUAAGAGUAGGAAACAAAGUGAUAGGCCAACUGAGAGCCAACUUAGAUAGUAGAAAAUAAGGCAUUGGGCCAACGAAGGGCCAAUGUUUAUUAUAGGAAACCAGUCAGUGGGCCAACGGGGGGCUAACAAUAAGAAGGG
This is a long non-coding RNA of Ruditapes philippinarum (Manila clam), 1198 nucleotides long. RefSeq lists it as uncharacterized. The record is from RefSeq and is a predicted model, not a curated record. The transcript is spliced from 3 exons. Lineage: Eukaryota; Metazoa; Mollusca; Bivalvia; Venerida; Veneridae.